GUACACUCCUGCGGGAGGCAGCAGUGGGGAAUUUUGGACAAUGGGCGAAAGCCUGAUCCAGCCAUGCCGCGUGCAGGAUGAAGGCCUUCGGGUUGUAAACUGCUUUUGUACGGAACGAAACGGCCUUUUCUAAUAAAGAGGGCUAAUGACGGUACCGUAAGAAUAAGCACCGGCUAACUACGUGCCAGCAGCCGCGGUAAUACGUAGGGUGCAAGCGUUAAUCGGAAUUACUGGGCGUAAAGCGUGCGCAGGCGGUUAUGUAAGACAGUUGUGAAAUCCCCGGGCUCAACCUGGGAACUGCAUCUGUGACUGCAUAGCUAGAGUACGGUAGAGGGGGAUGGAAUUCCGCGUGUAGCAGUGAAAUGCGUAGAUAUGCGGAGGAACACCGAUGGCGAAGGCAAUCCCCUGGACCUGUACUGACGCUCAUGCACGAAAGCGUGGGGAGCAAACAGGAUUAGAUACCCUAGUAGUCCCA
RNAcentral lists this ribosomal RNA (475 nucleotides) under uncultured organism. Its description in RNAcentral is "partial 16S ribosomal RNA". It matches the Rfam family "Bacterial small subunit ribosomal RNA", at positions 331 to 797 of the family's 1533-position model. The record is from RNAcentral.